GAAGGGGCUGGCUCUGCUGCUGCUCCUGCCCGGGAGCCCCGGCUGGGCCGGGCCGGCGCCCGCUGCACUGCGGCUGCUGCUGCUGCCAGAGCUGGGCGGGACUCGGGGACAGCGACGGACACGGGGGGACAGCAAAGGCCUGGUGGCUGCAGGUAUGUUGGUGCUGGGGCCGGCACCAGCACACAGCUUCUGCCUGCAAUUAACCCUGAGGGAAACGCUGAGGAAAGGUUCCAUUUCAGCCUUUCUUUACUGGUUGAUGUGAAGGGACCAAAAUCAAAGGAGAACAAGCAGGGUCCGACCCCUUCUCCUUUGCGAGGAGCCCCACACGUGGGGCUGUGAGGGGCCAUGAGGGGCCAUGAGGGGCCAUGAGAAGCCGUGAGGGGCUCUGAGGAGCCAUGAGAGACUGUGAGGGGCUGUAAGGAGACAUGAGGAGCUAUGAGGUCUGUGAGGGGCCAUAAGGGGCUCUGAGGGGCCAUGAAGGGCUAUUAGGGACCUUGAUGGGGAAAAGUUAAAAAGUUAUUGUUAUUAGUUCUGUUAUGAUAAUUAGUUAUAUUCUGUUAGCUUGAAAAAUGGUAUGGUCCUUGAUUCCCCCUAUGUAACUCCCUCAUGAUGGUACCUUCCAAGUUGUUUACCCCCUGCUUUUCCCGCCACUGGCCUGCCCUUCAAAGUGAGUGAUCCCUUGCUCCGCCCCUUAUUUCCUUGUAUGGUUAUGUCAAUCCCCAAAGUGCUGCUGUCCAUCAUUGUAAACACUCCUCGCCAUUUUUUGGGAAACUUCUAUGUCAGUCAUCCCCUACACCCACUGUGAUUUGUCCCAGAGGCUUCCUCCCUCCCCUGUGUAAUCUUUAUUGGUUCUAUUGUUUCUUAUAGUCCUCCCCUUGCUUUUACCUAUUGGUUCCCUCACGUCUCCUCCCUCCUACACCCACUCCCUUUAGAAGAGCUAGCCUGACCCCUUUUCCUGACACUUGUCCCUGCCCCUGCUGAGGUACUUGAUCCCAGUCCUGUUGGGGAAUAAAGCUUCCUUGGCUCGCAUACAAGUGUUCGCUCUCUCGGUCCUUUGUUUUGGAUCCUCGUGGCUCACACCCGCCUGUGUCACCCACGCCGCAGACAACACCACUGCCCAGGUGUUCUCGGAAAGAGAGCCUGGAGUGGCGCGUCUUGUGACCCCCUCCGGUCACACCAGGAGCAGCUAGCCGGCGCAUCCCAGCCCCAGUGACCCCAGUGUGGAGUCGCAGGCAAGUAGAAGCAAAUAACCAAAACAACAUCCCCAGAGCUCUGCUCUGCAGUGGGGUGAAUUGGGAGUGACAGUGCUGAAAAGCUGUUUAAUACUCUGGGUGGAUUUAAUCAAACAUCACUCCCAGUUUCUGUUUAUCUGUUUCUAUAGAACAGACAUGAGUCCUCCAGAGCAUCAGCAGAGCCCCUUGUUCCUUGGAGCUUUCUGAGCCAGCCCUCACCAGAUUUCCUAAAAUGGGCCAUCAAAGGAUGCUACCAUCACCAAGAAGAUGGAGACUAGGAAGAAGAAGGAAGAAGAACAGGACAACGCUCAAAUCCCUCCAUCUUGUCCCCUAGACCCCCAUAGUAAAAUUCUUCCAAAUUC
Long non-coding RNA from Passer domesticus (house sparrow), 1594 nucleotides. RefSeq lists it as uncharacterized. The transcript has 2 exons. The record is from RefSeq and is a predicted model, not a curated record. NCBI's taxonomy places the organism in Eukaryota, Metazoa, Chordata, Aves, Passeriformes, Passeridae.